CCUUCCUGGCCAGCCCCGCACUGUUCCGGAACUUCUCCUUCGGUUUGAGGAAACCCUGCCUGCUCACAAUUUCGCUCAUGCCGAGCCUCACGAGGUCGCUCGCACCUUUGAUCUGCUGACAGUCCCUGGAUUUCGAGCCUGCCUGCAGUCGCCUCCCACGGCCUCCCUCCGGGACCAACCCCCAGCCCCGUCUUUCACGGCUGCUCGUGGACGUGCACAGAGUCACCCAGCAUGCACGUUCCAGCUGAGCUUAACCAAGAAGACACUCUACCAGAGCCAAGUGUAUGAGCUGUUUACAUGCGUUGGAUGCCUAUUACCAGAUGUGUGAUUUGCAAAUGCUUAUGUUUUGCCUGCUUGAUGAAAACAUGGCCACAGGCGCACAGGAAUCUAACCCCGCAUUUCCUCCAGCGACGGUGGCUUAGCGUUCCACAAAUCGGCGUUGGUGGUGACUUUGUAGAAGGAAACCACCAUGAAAAACGGGAGUCGGCUGUAUUUGCAGCCAAGGAGAGUCCUUUGAAACAUCUGCGUACAUUACCUGGGCUCGGGGACUGUAGUGGAACAUUUGGGAUUCGUUUUCGGGGACUCCACUGCCUGCCCUGUGGUUCGGGCAUCCAGCGGCUGAAUGACGAUUUCUCCCUUGGCCAGGAGGGGGACGCAUCGUCAGCAUUCUCAGGUUUCGUGACAGCUGCCCGUAGUGACAAGUGGCAUGCUUAGCGAGAGGAACCCCGCUGCCGGCAUUGCCGCUCCACGCAUGCGCCCUGUCCCUUCCAGUCGGGCUUACAGUGAGGUGGAUUCCAGAACAAUCGAUCCGCGCCAAGGUUGAGGCUACGGCCGCUCUCCAGCUCGGUCACACUUUGUCCUCGGCCUCAGUGAUUAUUUGAGGACUUUUGAUGUGCCACCGGAAGCGUUUAAUUAUGUGUGUAAUUUUUCAAAGGCCAAAUGCACUUUUUUCCCCAGCGCGACCAGCUUUCAAAGGCAUGGCAUCGCCCAGGGCCCCAGCCCAGCCUCCCCAGAUGCCGUCCGCAUCGGCCCGCUUGUCUUACCAUUUAAUCCCACCAAUAACUUUAUAAACCCUUGUCGCACCAUGCCGCUGGGGCAGAGAGAUUAAAAUAAUGUUUGCGUUGUGACACUUGAAACAACAGCACCAUUUCCCGUCCCCUCGCGACAGAGAUGACCUUUAGGUCUGUCCCGCAUGUUCCAGGAACUGGGGCGGUGGCGGGAGGCGGUCCAGUCGGUCCUGUAUUCCUUCUGGUUUGCGGACAACGUUUCCCAGGUAGCGGGGUGUCACCGGUGUUCACAGGUUCAGACCUCCCGAGGUCCUUACGCAGCGCUGGACAGCGACACCUGCCCUCCGGCGCGGACAGAGCGCUCAGCGCAGCCAGCUGGCUGCGGUACCCUUACACCGCGCUUCUGGGGUUACCCGAGGACCACAGCGGAGGCCACACUGACCCGCGUGGUGUCCAGUCAACUCCCCUCCCCCAGCCUCGGCCUGACCACUGACCUGGAG
Long non-coding RNA from Pteropus alecto (black flying fox), 1507 nucleotides. RefSeq lists it as uncharacterized. The transcript has 3 exons. NCBI's taxonomy places the organism in Eukaryota, Metazoa, Chordata, Mammalia, Chiroptera, Pteropodidae. The record is from RefSeq and is a predicted model, not a curated record.